AGAGUUUGAUCCUGGCUCAGGACGAACGCUGGCGGCGUGCCUAAUACAUGCAAGUUGAGCGCUGAAGGUUGGUACUUGUACCGACUGGAUGAGCAGCGAACGGGUGAGUAACGCGUGGGGAAUCUGCCUUUGAGCGGGGGACAACAUUUGGAAACGAAUGCUAAUACCGCAUAAAAACUUUAAACACAAGUUUUAAGUUUGAAAGAUGCAAUUGCAUCACUCAAAGAUGAUCCCGCGUUGUAUUAGCUAGUUGGUGAGGUAAAGGCUCACCAAGGCGAUGAUACAUAGCCGACCUGAG
Molecule: ribosomal RNA, 298 nt
Filed under: Lactococcus lactis subsp. lactis
Lineage: Bacteria; Bacillati; Bacillota; Bacilli; Lactobacillales; Streptococcaceae
Description: partial 16S ribosomal RNA
Rfam family: Bacterial small subunit ribosomal RNA
Source: RNAcentral